Molecule: ribosomal RNA, 867 nt
Filed under: Triticum aestivum (bread wheat)
Lineage: Eukaryota; Viridiplantae; Streptophyta; Magnoliopsida; Poales; Poaceae
Description: partial small subunit ribosomal RNA
Source: RNAcentral
AUGACUUCUCGUAGUGAAGUGUUGUCUAUUUAUAAGCGUUUUGCUGCCAUGGUUCAUACUCAAUUCUCUUCCCGCAUUCGUGUUUUUCGUGCUGACUCUGCUGGCGAGUAUAUCUCUAAGAUGUUGCGUGGUGUUCUUGCUGAGCAAGGAACUCUCUCUCAAUUCUCUUGUCCUGGUGCUCAUGCUCAAAAUGGCGUGGCUGAGCGAAAGCAUCGACAUCUUCUUGAGACGGCUCGUGCGUUGAUGAUUGCUGCCUCUCUCCCGCCUCAUUUUUGGGCUGAGGCCGUCUCCACCUCCACCUAUCUUAUCAAUAUACAGCCUUCCGCUGCUCUACAGGGUGGUGUUCCUUUCGAGCGUCUUUUUGAUCGUUCUCCUGAUUAUUCGAUGCUUCGCUUGUUUGGUUGUGUUUGCUAUGUUCUUCUUGCCCCUCGCGAACGCACCAAACUGACCGCUCAGUCUGUUGAGUGUGUCUUCUUAGGCUACAGUGAUGAGCAUAAGGGUUAUCGUUGUUGGGAUCCUAUCGGUCGUCGGAUGCGUAUCUCUCGAGACGUGACUUUUGAUGAGUCUCGUCCCUUCUAUCCACGCCCAUCUUCCUCGACUUUUUCAGUGGAGGAUAUCUCUUUCCUCACUUUUCCUGACUCACCUCUCACCCCCGUCGAGCCUGUGCCUAUUCGUUCCACUCCCUAUGCUUCUCCACCUCUAGUCGAUUUGCAGCCACCAUCUUCCCCGGUCUCCUCACCUAGCAUGUCACCAGAUUCUACACCUUCAUCUCCGGUGACUUCUUCUUCGCCACCCCCUGAUUCUACCUUGGCGAUUCCUCCUUCUAUUGUGCCAUCUUUUCCUCAGCAUUACACUCGUCGUUCAUGA